AAUGAACGUUGGCGGCGUGGAUUAGGCAUGCAAGUCGUGCGCGAACUGUAGCAAUACAGGGAGAGCGGCGAAAGGGAGAGUAAUACAUAGGUACCUACCCCCGGGCCUGGGAUAGCGGCGGGAAACUGCCGGUAAUACCAGAUAACGUCCCCGGACCAAAGAUGUGACUUCACCUGGGGAGGGGCCUAUGGCCUAUCAGCUUGUUGGCAGGGUAACGGCCUACCAAGGCAAAGACGGGUAUGGGGCGUGAGAGCGUGCCCCCACUCACUGGGACUGAGACACUGCCCAGAAACCUACGGGUGGCUGCAGUCGAGAAUCGUCGGCAAUGGGCGCAAGCCUGACCGAGCGACGCCGCGUGCGGGAUGAAGGCCUUCGGGUUGUAAACCGCUGUCGUAGGGGAGGAAGGGCCUGUGAAGAACAGGACUUGACCGAUCCUAGGAGGAAGGGCCGGCUAAUCUCGUGCCAGCAGCCGCCGUAA
RNAcentral lists this ribosomal RNA (478 nucleotides) under uncultured bacterium. Its description in RNAcentral is "partial 16S ribosomal RNA". It matches the Rfam family "Bacterial small subunit ribosomal RNA", at positions 29 to 523 of the family's 1533-position model. The record is from RNAcentral.